Molecule: ribosomal RNA, 497 nt
Filed under: uncultured bacterium
Lineage: Bacteria
Description: partial 16S ribosomal RNA
Rfam family: Bacterial small subunit ribosomal RNA
Source: RNAcentral
GAUGAACGCUGGCGGCGUGCCUAAUACAUGCAAGUCGAGCGAACGGACGAGAAGCUUGCUUCUCUGAUGUUAGCGGCGGACGGGUGAGUAACACGUGGAUAACCUACCUAUAAGACUGGGAUAACUUCGGGAAACCGGAGCUAAUACCGGAUAAUAUUUUGAACCGCAUGGUUCAAAAGUGAAAGACGGUCUUGCUGUCACUUAUAGAUGGAUCCGCGCUGCAUUAGCUAGUUGGUAAGGUAACGGCUUACCAAGGCAACGAUGCAUAGCCGACCUGAGAGGGUGAUCGGCCACACUGGAACUGAGACACGGUCCAGACUCCUACGGGAGGCAGCAGUAGGGAAUCUUACGCAAUGGGCGAAAGCCUGACGGAGCAACGCCGCGUGAGUGAUGAAGGUCUUCGGAUCAUAAAACUCUGUUAUUAGGGAAGAACAUAUGUGUAAGUAACUGUGCACAUCUUGACGGUACCUAAUCAGAAAGCCACGGCUAACUACGUG